This 255-nucleotide long non-coding RNA is filed under the name Lathyrus oleraceus (garden pea). Its description in RNAcentral is "Pisum sativum (pea) long non-coding RNA (PSAT_LNC016485)". The record is from RNAcentral. Lineage: Eukaryota; Viridiplantae; Streptophyta; Magnoliopsida; Fabales; Fabaceae.
UUGAUGUUACAACUGGGAAACAUUAGAGCUUCUUUUCAAAAGAGUUUUUACGAAGUUGAGCACACGCACAUAAGUCCCUUUUAUGGUUAUUUGCGUGGUUCCGUAUCUCGAGCUGCUUUGAGACGUAUUGCUUGUUUUUACGAAGUUGAGCACACGCACAUAAGUCCCUUUUAUGGUUAUUUGCGUGGUUCCGUAUCUCGAGCUGCUUUGAGACGUAUUGCUGAAGAGUUAUUGAGAGUUGAUUAUGUUGGAACU